RNAcentral lists this ribosomal RNA (468 nucleotides) under uncultured bacterium. Its description in RNAcentral is "partial 16S ribosomal RNA". It matches the Rfam family "Bacterial small subunit ribosomal RNA", at positions 28 to 507 of the family's 1533-position model. The record is from RNAcentral.
GACGAACGCUGGCGGCGUGCUUAACACAUGCAAGUCGAACGGAAAGGCGCUGCUCUUGCGGGUUGCUCGAGUGGCGAGCGGGUGAGUAACACGCGAGUAACCCGCCCUUGUCUUUGGGAUAACUUCUGGGAACUGGGGCUAAUACCGGAUAGGAGCUCCUGCUGCACGGUGGGGGAUGGAAAGUUUCGGCGGUUCGGGCUGGACUCGCUGCUUACCGGCUUGUUGGUGGGGUAGGGGCUUACCAAGGCUUCGACGGGUAGCCGGCCUGGGAGGGUGACCGGGCACAUGGGGACUGAGGGACGGCCCAGACGCCUACGGGACGCAGCGGGGGGGAACAUUGCGCAGUGGGCGGAAGCCUGAUGAAGCGACGCCGCGUGCGGGAUGACGUGUUUCGGGGUGUGAACCGCUUUGGCCGGUGCCGAGCCGUGAGUGACGGUAAUGGGUAAGGAAGCACCGGCUAACUACGUG